CCCUUAGAUGUUCUGGGCCGCACGCGCGCUACACUGAUGCAUUCAACGAGCCUAUCCUUGACCGACAGGUCCGAGUAAUCUUUGAAUCUGCAUCGUGACGGGGAUAGAUUAUUGCAAUUAUUAAUCUUCAACGAGGAAUGCCUAGUAGGCGCAAGUCAUCAGCUUGCGUCGAUUACGCCCCUGCCCUUUGUACACACCGCCCGUCGCUCCCACCGAUUGGGUGUGCUGGUGAAAUGUUCGGAUCGGCCGUUUGUCGCGGUUUCCGCGUCAUGUGGCUGAGAAGUUCAUUAAACCCUCCCACCUAGAGGAAGGAGAAGUCGUAACA
RNAcentral lists this ribosomal RNA (325 nucleotides) under uncultured eukaryote. RNAcentral describes it as "partial 18S ribosomal RNA". It matches the Rfam family "Eukaryotic small subunit ribosomal RNA", at positions 1470 to 1796 of the family's 1831-position model. The record is from RNAcentral.